RNAcentral lists this ribosomal RNA (322 nucleotides) under uncultured eukaryote. Its description in RNAcentral is "partial 18S ribosomal RNA". It matches the Rfam family "Eukaryotic small subunit ribosomal RNA", at positions 1470 to 1796 of the family's 1831-position model. The record is from RNAcentral.
CCCUUAGAUGUUCUGGGCCGCACGCGUGCUACACUGAGUAAUUCAAUGGGUAAGGGAACGCUAGAGCAUUACCUAAUCUUGAAAUUUGCUCGUGAUGGGGAUCGACGGUUGCAAUUUUCCGUCGUGAACGAGGAAUACCUUGUAGGCGCAUGUCAUCAUCAUGCGCCGAAUAGGUCCCUGCCCUUUGUACACACCGCCCGUCGCUCCUACCGAUUGAGUGAUCCGGUGAGGCUCUGGGACCUGGACGGAAAGAGCGUUUCGCUUGUUCUGUUUGGGAAACUUGGUCGAACCUUAUCAUUUAGAGGAAGGAGAAGUCGUAACA